CGGAAAAUGGCGGCGUGCUAAUACAUGCAAGUCGAGCGAGCAGAACCAGCAGAUUUACUUCGGUAAUGACGCUGGGGACGCGAGCGGCGGAUGGGUGAGUAACACGUGGGGAACCUGCCCCAUAGUCUGGGAUACCACUUGGAAACAGGUGCUAAUACCGGAUAAGAAAGCAGAUCGCAUGAUCAGCUUAUAAAAGGCGGCGUAAGCUGUCGCUAUGGGAUGGCCCCGCGGUGCAUUAGCUAGUUGGUAAGGUAACGGCUUACCAAGGCAAUGAUGCAUAGCCGAGUUGAGAGACUGAUCGGCCACAUUGGGACUGAGACACGGCCCAAACUCCUACGGGAGGCAGCAGUAGGGAAUCUUCCACAAUGGACGCAAGUCUGAUGGAGCAACGCCGCGUGAGUGAAGAAGGUUUUCGGAUCGUAAAGCUCUGUUGUUGGUGAAGAAGGAUAGAGGCAGUAACUGGCCUUUAUUUGACGGUAAUCAACCAGAAAGUCACGGCUAACUACGUGCCAGCAGCCGCGGUAAUACGUAGGUGGCAAGCGUUGUCCGGAUUUAUUGGGCGUAAAGCGAGCGCAGGCGGAAGAAUAAGUCUGAUGUGAAAGCCCUCGGCUUAACCGAGGAACUGCAUCGGAAACUGUUUUUCUUGAGUGCAGAAGAGGAGAGUGGAACUCCAUGUGUAGCGGUGGAAUGCGUAGAUAUAUGGAAGAACACCAGUGGCGAAGGCGACUCUCUGGUCUGCAACUGACGCUGAGGCUCGAAAGCAUGGGUAGCGAACAGGAUUAGAUACCCUGGUAGUCCAUGCCGUAAACGAUGAGUGCUAAGUGUUGGGAGGUUUCCGCCUCUCAGUGCUGCAGCUAACGCAUUAAGCACUCCGCCUGGGGGAGUACGACCGCAAGGUUGAAACUCAAAGGAAU
This 914-nucleotide ribosomal RNA is filed under the name Lactobacillus helveticus. RNAcentral describes it as "bacterial SSU rRNA". It matches the Rfam family "Bacterial small subunit ribosomal RNA", at positions 30 to 910 of the family's 1533-position model. The record is from RNAcentral. Lineage: Bacteria; Bacillati; Bacillota; Bacilli; Lactobacillales; Lactobacillaceae.